This 483-nucleotide ribosomal RNA is filed under the name uncultured bacterium. RNAcentral's name for it is "partial 16S ribosomal RNA". It matches the Rfam family "Bacterial small subunit ribosomal RNA", at positions 29 to 507 of the family's 1533-position model. The record is from RNAcentral.
UUGAACGCUGGCGGCUUGCUUUACACAUGCAAGUCGAACGGCAGCGCGGGCUUCGGCCUGGCGGCGAGUGGCGAACGGGUGAGUAAUACAUCGGAACGUGCCCAGUAGUGGGGGAUAGCUCGGCGAAAGCCGGAUUAAUACCGCAUACGACCUGAGGGUGAAAGCGGGGGAUCUUCGGACCUCGCGCUAUUGGAGCGGCCGAUGGCAGAUUAGCUAGUUGGUGGGGUAAAGGCCUACCAAGGCGACGAUCUGUAGCUGGUCUGAGAGGACGACCAGCCACACUGGGACUGAGACACGGCCCAGACUCCUACGGGAGGCAGCAGUGGGGAAUUUUGGACAAUGGGCGAAAGCCUGAUCCAGCAAUGCCGCGUGUGUGAUGAAGGCCUUCGGGUUGUAAAGCACUUUUGGCGGGAACGAAAAGGACUGUGCCAAUACCACGGUUCGAUGACGGUACCCGCAGAAUAAGCACCGGCUAACUACGUG